This 406-nucleotide ribosomal RNA is filed under the name uncultured bacterium. Its description in RNAcentral is "partial 16S ribosomal RNA". It matches the Rfam family "Bacterial small subunit ribosomal RNA", at positions 30 to 526 of the family's 1533-position model. The record is from RNAcentral.
AUUGAACGCUGGCGGCAGGCCUAACACAUGCAAGUCGAACGAGUGGCGGACGGGUGAGUAAUGUCUGGGAAACUGCCCGAUGGAGGGGGAUAACUACUGGAAACGGUAGCUAAUACCGCAUACCAUCGGAUGUGCCCAGCUGGGAUUAGCUAGUAGGGGGGGUAACGGCUCACCGAGGCGACGAUCCCUAGCUGGUCUGAGAGGCUGACCAGCAAUACUGGAACUGAUACACGGUCCAGAUUCCUACGUGAGGCAGCGGUGGGGAAUAUUGAACAAUGGGCGCAAGCCUGAUGCAGCCAUGCCGCGUGUAUGAAGAAGGCCUUCGGGUUGGAAAGUACUUUCAGCGAGGAGGCGUUACUCGCAGAAGAAGCACCGGCUAACUCCGUGCCAGCAGCCGCGGUAAUAC